RNAcentral lists this long non-coding RNA (880 nucleotides) under Numida meleagris (helmeted guineafowl). RNAcentral describes it as "lncRNA (ENSNMEG00000001518.1)". The record is from RNAcentral. Lineage: Eukaryota; Metazoa; Chordata; Aves; Galliformes; Numididae.
NUAUCCCCACUGAUGUCUCAUGUUCCCAUUGCCUCCAUGUCCCCUUGAUUCCAUGUCCCACCGAUGUCCCCACGUCCUACUGACAUCCCCAAGCCCCACCAACGUCCCCAUGCCCCACUGCCGUCCCCACUGCCGUCCCCACUGCCGUCCCCACUGCCGUCCCCACAUCCCACUGACGUCCCCGUUCCCCCAGGUACAUCCGUCCCUCCAUGCUGCAGCACCUCCUGCGCCGUCUCGUCUUCGAUGUCCCCAUCCUCAACGAGUUCGCCAAAAUGCCGCUCAAGCUGCUGACCAACCACUACGAGCGGUGCUGGAAGUACUACUGCCUGCCCAGCGGGUGGCCCAACUACGGGGUCAGCUCCGAGGAGGAGCUGCACCUGACCCGCAAACUCUUCUGGGGCAUCUUCGAGUCCCUGGCACACAAGAAGUUCGACCCCGAGCUGUACAAGCUGGCCAUGCCGUGCCUCUGCGCCAUCGCGGGCGCGCUGCCCCCCGACUACGUGGACGCCAGUUACUCCUCCAAGACCGAGAAGAAGGCGUCGGUGGACGCCGAGGGCAACUUCGACCCCAAACCCGUCGAGACCCUCAACGUCAUCAUCCCCGAGAAGCUGGACGGGUUCAUCAACAAGUACGCCGAGUACACGCACGAGAAGUGGGCGUUCGACAAGGUGGGACCCCCGGGNCCCUCAGCUUCGUGUCCCAAUGGGUGUCCCCAUGCUGGGUGACAUCUGGUGACCCUCAGCUUGGUGUCCCAGUGGGUGUCCCCAUGGUGGGUGACACCUGGUGGCCCUCAGCUUGGUGUCCCAGUGGUGUCCCCAUGGUGGGUGACACCUGGUGGCCCUCAGCUUGGUGUCCCAAUGGGUGUCCCCGUGGUGGGUGA